RNAcentral lists this ribosomal RNA (490 nucleotides) under uncultured bacterium. RNAcentral's name for it is "partial 16S ribosomal RNA". It matches the Rfam family "Bacterial small subunit ribosomal RNA", at positions 30 to 507 of the family's 1533-position model. The record is from RNAcentral.
AUUGAACGCUGGCGGCAGGCCUAACACAUGCAAGUCGAACGGUAACAGGAAGCAGCUUGCUGCUUUGCUGCCGAGUGGCGGACGGGUGAGUAAUGUCUGGGAAACUGCCUGAUGGAGGGGGAUAACUACUGGAAACGGUAGCUAAUACCGCAUAACGUCGCAAGACCAAAGAGGGGGACCUUAGGGCCUCUUGCCAUCGGAUGUGUCCAGAUGGGAUUAGCUAGUAGGUGGGGUAACGGCUCACCUAGGCGACGAUCCCUAGCUGGUCUGAGAGGAUGACCAGCCACACUGGAACUGAGACACGGUCCAGAAUCCUACGGGAGGCAGCAGUGGGGAAUAUUGCACAAAGGGCGCAAGCCUGAUGCAGCCAUGCCGCGUGUAUGAAGAAGGCCUUCGGGUUGUAAAGUACUUUCAGCGGGGAGGAAGGGAGUAAAGUUAAUACCUUUGCUCAUUGACGUUACACGCAGAAGAAGCACCGGCUAACUCCGUG